RNAcentral lists this ribosomal RNA (164 nucleotides) under uncultured bacterium. RNAcentral describes it as "partial 16S rRNA". It matches the Rfam family "Bacterial small subunit ribosomal RNA", at positions 355 to 511 of the family's 1533-position model. The record is from RNAcentral.
UAGGGAAUCUUCCACAAUGGGCGAAAGCCUGAUGGAGCAACGCCGCGUGUGUGAUGAAGGGUUUCGGCUCGUAAAACACUGUUGUAAGAGCAGAAUGACAUUGAGAGUAACUGUUCAAUGUGUGACGGUAUCUUACCAGAAAGGAACGGCUAAAUACGUGCCAG